This 533-nucleotide ribosomal RNA is filed under the name uncultured Gammaproteobacteria bacterium. RNAcentral's name for it is "bacterial SSU rRNA". It matches the Rfam family "Bacterial small subunit ribosomal RNA", at positions 97 to 663 of the family's 1533-position model. Lineage: Bacteria; Pseudomonadati; Pseudomonadota; Gammaproteobacteria. The record is from RNAcentral.
GGCGGACGGGUGAGUAAUACAUAGGAAUCUGCCUAGUAGUGGGGGACAACCUGGGGAAACCCAGGCUAAUACCGCAUACGCCCUUCGGGGGAAAGGCUUCGGCCGCUAUUAGAUGAGCCUAUGUCUGAUUAGCUUGUUGGUGGGGUAAUGGCCUACCAAGGCGACGAUCAGUAGCUGGUCUGAGAGGACGAUCAGCCACACUGGGACUGAGACACGGCCCAGACUCCUACGGGAGGCAGCAGUGGGGAAUAUUGGACAAUGGGCGAAAGCCUGAUCCAGCAAUGCCGCGUGUGUGAAGAAGGCCUGCGGGUUGUAAAGCACUUUCAGUAGGGAAGAUAAUGACGGUACCUACAGAGGAAGCACCGGCUAACUCUGUGCCAGCAGCCGCGGUAAUACAGAGGGUGCAAGCGUCAAUCGGAAUUACUGGGCGUAAAGCGCGCGUAGGCGGUUUGUUAAGUCGGAUGUGAAAGCCCCGGGCUCAACCUGGGAACUGCAUUCGAUACUGGCAUGCUAGAGUAUGGUAGAGGGUAGUG